AGUGAACGCUGGCGGUAGGCCUAACACAUGCAAGUCGAACGGCAGCACAGGAGAGCUUGCUCUCUGGGUGGCGAGUGGCGGACGGGCGAGGAAUACAUCGGAAUCUACUUUUUCGUGGGGGAUAACGUAGGGAAACUUACGCUAAUACCGCAUACGACCUACGGGUGAAAGCAGGGGAUCUUCGGACCUUGCGCGAUUGAAUGAGCCGAUGUCGGAUUAGCUAGUUGGCGGGGUAAAGGCCCACCAAGGCGACGAUCCGUAGCUGGUCUGAGAGGAUGAUCAGCCACACUGGAACUGAGACACGGUCCAGACUCCUACGGGAGGCAGCAGUGGGGAAUAUUGGGCAAUGGGCGCAAGCCUGAUCCAGCCAUACCGCGUGGGUGAAGAAGGCCUUCGGGUUGUAAAGCCCUUUUGUUGGGAAAGAAAUCCAGCUGGUUAAUACCCGGUUGGGAUGACGGUACCCAAAGAAUAAGCACCGGCUAACUUCGUGCCAGCCGCCGCGGUAA
RNAcentral lists this ribosomal RNA (506 nucleotides) under uncultured bacterium. Its description in RNAcentral is "partial 16S ribosomal RNA". It matches the Rfam family "Bacterial small subunit ribosomal RNA", at positions 29 to 523 of the family's 1533-position model. The record is from RNAcentral.